Molecule: unclassified non-coding RNA, 214 nt
Filed under: fungal sp.
Lineage: Eukaryota; Fungi
Description: partial internal transcribed spacer region
Rfam family: Eukaryotic small subunit ribosomal RNA (bases 1-46)
Source: RNAcentral
AAGUCGUAACAAGGUAUCCGUAGGUGAACCUGCGGAUGGAUCAUUAGUGGAUGUUGGAGGCAUGUGAGUGAAUUUAUAUAAGUAAUUGGGUGUUGGUUGGAUGCAUGGUUGGAUGCCUAGCGGGCCAGCCAACAAUCACCCCCACGUCAAACUCUAUAAAUCUAAUAUUGUCACAAAACAAAAACAACUUUUAGCAACGGAUCUCUUGGCUCUC